CUUUUACCAAUGUAUUGGGCAUAAAUAACUUUCUCUU
This 37-nucleotide transfer RNA is filed under the name Veronica peregrina (purslane speedwell). RNAcentral's name for it is "partial tRNA-Leu". Lineage: Eukaryota; Viridiplantae; Streptophyta; Magnoliopsida; Lamiales; Plantaginaceae. The record is from RNAcentral.